Long non-coding RNA from Thunnus maccoyii (southern bluefin tuna), 933 nucleotides. RefSeq lists it as uncharacterized. NCBI's taxonomy places the organism in Eukaryota, Metazoa, Chordata, Actinopteri, Scombriformes, Scombridae. The record is from RefSeq and is a predicted model, not a curated record. The transcript is spliced from 3 exons.
UGAGGUCGGCUCGGUUCGCGUAACCUCAGCUGUUCCAGGAAGAUGCAGCAGGUCUGUGUCUGCUCAGCUACCAAACAGCUUCAGGUGAAUUACAACCACCUCCUGGACUGGAGAGUUGCAUGUAGCCUGGGAAAACCAAGACAGAUUACAAUCAGAUGUGUGAUGUGGAGACGCGUACAGUAUAGACGACUCCACAGGUAUAAAACAGCGGUUUCAUAAAAAGUCUCGACUGCAGCAGCCGAUUACCAUCAUCUGUGAUCAGCGGGUAGGAUUAGAUCAGUAUUUAUUACUCCUGUAGUCAUGUGACAUCAGAAACCGAAAGGUAUGUCAACGACUGUUUAAUUAUCACGUGCAGGUAUCAGAUAUCAGCUAAUUGCUUUGUUGCCUGAAGCGAGCAGCUGCUGCUCAGAUAUCAGCUCUGUUCCCUCAGGCGAAAAAAAAAAAAAAUCACGCAGCUUCACCCCCUUUAGAGUGAUUUAUAGUCCAGUAAGAUUUAACAUGUUGAAUGUAAUUCUGCAAUGCUGGAUGGAUGUCCUGUAUUGCCAGACAGGUUUUACUGUCAGUGAGUAAAAUAAGUUUUUCAUAUCGAUGAUUUACUUUAUGGAGCGGAGAGUCAGCGGCGAGGAAAAGGCUUUUACUGAAAAUAGUCUGAGGCUGUAAGUGAGUGAUUUUAUGCUUCUGUGUCAGGUUUUAAGGACUUCACAUUUUUUGGCAUGGUUAUUUUUAAUCAGUCAUCCAAAAGCACAGGGAGUCGGAUGUUAUUUGGGGGGUUUUUUUUAAAUAAAUUUCAAGCAAAAAUUUCCACCAUGAAACUGUAUGCAGCACUGUGAAUGUAUCAGUCAGGUUUCAGUCACUCCUGAUUAAAAUGUCGAGGGCUGAGAGAGCUGCACAAGCUGCAAACUAAAUUUUUCCUCCUACAGCUGACGUUCAAUC